AGGAAUUAAAGAUAAGCAAAAAGAAAAUGAGAUUGAGGAAUUAAAGAUGGACAAUAUUUGGAUUAGAAAGAGGUAGCAAAGAUGACAAAAGAUUUUCAUAUAUAGGAGUUGAAAACAAAAAUAUAUACUACAAAAAUUAUAGUGUAACACCUCAGUCCCACAUCGAAAGAUAGGAAAAAGAUUUGUCUCUAUAUAAAAAAAUAAGUUACUAUCAAUAGUACCUUCAAGUCAUGACCUUUUGGGUGAGUCUGUAGUGGGCUAAGAUGACCCAAUAAAAUAUUAUUGGGUCAGUAGUUUAAGACCUUAUUUUGACGGAUUUGAUUUGAUUCAGACUUGAGAUUUAACCGAAAUUUUGAAAUAAUGAAAUAUCGUUUUUGAGUCAAGUUGAGUUCCAAACAUGUGAUUGAAAUGCAAUCUUUCCCAGUUCUUACCCAACAAACAUAAG
RNAcentral lists this long non-coding RNA (445 nucleotides) under Panax ginseng (ginseng). Its description in RNAcentral is "long non-coding RNA (PGIN_LNC005959)". The record is from RNAcentral. Lineage: Eukaryota; Viridiplantae; Streptophyta; Magnoliopsida; Apiales; Araliaceae.